GAUGAACGCUGGCGGCGUGCCUAAUACAUGCCAGUCGAGCGAACAGACGAGGAGCUUGCUCCUCUGACGUUAGCGGCGGACGGGUGAGUAACACGUGGAUAACCUACCUAUAAGACUGGGAUAACUUCGGGAAACCGGAGCUAAUACCGGAUAAUAUAUUGAACCGCAUGGUUCAAUAGUGAAAGACGGUUUUGCUGUCACUUAUAGAUGGAUCCGCGCCGCAUUAGCUAGUUGGUAAGGUAACGGCUUACCAAGGCAACGAUGCGUAGCCGACCUGAGAGGGUGAUCGGCCACACUGGAACUGAGACACGGUCCAGACUCCUACGGGAGGCAGCAGUAGGGAAUCUUCCGCAAUGGGCGAAAGCCUGACAGAGCAACGCCGCGUGAGUGAUGAAGGUCUUCGGAUCGUAAAACUCUGUUAUUAGGGAAGAACAAAUGUGUAAGUAACUAUGCACGUCUUGACGGUACCUAAUCAGAAAGCCACGGCUAACUACGUG
Molecule: ribosomal RNA, 497 nt
Filed under: uncultured bacterium
Lineage: Bacteria
Description: partial 16S ribosomal RNA
Rfam family: Bacterial small subunit ribosomal RNA
Source: RNAcentral